CAGAGUUCAUGCCCUUCGGGGUAGAUCUCCCACCCUGUGUAUUUAUACCUUUGUUGCUUUGGCAGGCCGUCAGGCUUCGGCUCGACUACCGGCUUCGGCUGGUAAGCGCCUGCCAGAGAACCUAAAACUCAUGUUUAAUCAUAUUGUCUGAGUACUAUAUAAUAGUUA
This 168-nucleotide unclassified non-coding RNA is filed under the name uncultured Helotiales. RNAcentral describes it as "sequence contains ITS1". Lineage: Eukaryota; Fungi; Ascomycota; Leotiomycetes; Helotiales. The record is from RNAcentral.